Molecule: ribosomal RNA, 274 nt
Filed under: uncultured bacterium
Lineage: Bacteria
Description: partial 16S ribosomal RNA
Rfam family: Archaeal small subunit ribosomal RNA
Source: RNAcentral
AAACCAGCACCUCAAGUGGUCAGGAUGAUUAUUGGGCCUAAAGCAUCCGUAGCCGGCUCUGUAAGUUUUCGGUUAAAUCUGUAUGCUUAACAUACAGGCUGCCGGGAAUACUGCAGAGCUAGGGAGUGGGAGAGGUAGACGGUACUCGGGAGGAAGUGGUAAAAUGCUUUGAUCUCUCGAUGACCACCUGUGGCGAAGGCGGUCUACCAGAACACGUUCGACGGUGAGGGAUGAAAGCUGGGGGAGCAAACCGGAUUAGAAACCCCGGUAGUCC